ACAAUUUGUCUUUUCAAAUGUAGCCACUAGUUUAUGCCAGUUACAGUCUGUCUUUGUAAAAUGGAGAUAAACACAAUGGCAAAAUAGUACCUGACUGCAGCAAAAAAAAAAUAAAUAGAUAAAUUUUAAAAUACACUUGGCUUUCCAAAUAGUCUAUAUUAUGAAUAUAUAUUAUGUUUAUAAUUAGAUAAAGACCAUAAGUACUCUUUUAAAAGGCCAUGUAUGUUUGCAAGCAACUUCAUUAUUUGCAUGAGUAUUUUCUUCUAUUCACCGUUUAGUCAGUGAAAAGCUUGAAUCUCAAUAAAUAUGUAUUCCUCUAGGUAAAAAUAAAAUUAAUAUAUAAUUGUCAAAGGAAACAUGUGUCUGUCCCAGCAAUGUAUCUUUAAAGAAGAGCUAACUCAAUACCUUGUUUCUGGUUGUCAUUAAAUGUAAUAUGGAAGAUCAAUCAAUCAGGAUUCAAUUCUAGAGAAAAUAAUGCAUUCUGGUUAGCAUAAUUAGAAGGGGAUUUAUUUCAGGGUUCUAUGUGGGGAUGAAAUACUUAUUGGAUGUUCUGAAAUACUAAUAAACUCUCUCCUGAGCUUUCCAGAUGGGCUAACAAAGCCAUACCACAGAAUUAUUCAUCAAAGAAACUGCUGCCCUGUCAUUUUAAGAUGCUCUGGCUACGACUACAGCUGUUGGUGCAGAACUUCCACCUAAGCUGUGAGCAGAAAAUCACCACCAGCCAUAUUUGGAAUUCUCUCUAAGGAAAGAGGCCAGCACUAUGAGUGAUGCUUCAUUUGGUGAUUAACUUCGCUCUAACAAAAAAUAGUUCUGCACAACCAAAAUUAUAUGAAUAUUUGAUUUCACAUUUUUGAAUAAAAUC
RNAcentral lists this long non-coding RNA (862 nucleotides) under Homo sapiens (human). RNAcentral describes it as "HSALNT0163006". The record is from RNAcentral. Lineage: Eukaryota; Metazoa; Chordata; Mammalia; Primates; Hominidae.